CGUUAAACUAGCUCUAAACAUUUACUCUUCCGCUUUGUGUGCUGGGAGGCGCGCGGUAUAUAUGCGGACAUGAUCAGCGUCUAAACCGCUAGCAGCUGAGAGCAAUUCAGACCCACGUGAAAUCCCAGCCAAUGACAGAACAGGGAGGAGACAUGACAGAAACAUAAACAAAACACACGUGUCCAGAUGUCAUUACAGUCAACAACGGGAAAGCAGGUGCUAGCGCAUUCGCGCUUAGUGCACGCUGCUUCAAGGGGGAAUCGUGACAGCUGAGGAUAGACUGAUGUAACCAGUGCACCAAAGUAACAGUGUUGGAAAGAUGCCACUCAGAAACAUGGCAGAGCCAAGGUCAUUACACCUGCCCUGGCAUUUCUUUCCCUCCAUGGAGGAUUUGGUAUCAUACAAGCAGCGGAGGUCCACAGUGCUUUGACACUGUCCCACAUGAAGAAAAGUGCACCAGCCCCUUGUGGAUGUUCAGCACAUUUGUGGUGACAUGGUGCAUUAUUCCAUGGAGCUUCAUCAUGCAGGUUUAGACCAUGUUGUUGGCUAUGUAUUUCACGAUGUAAGGAUGAACAAAUUGCAGCCUGAUGAAGUUUGUAGGUUCUUCUUUGAGUUAUUGUGAUGAAGCACUCAGCUCUUCUAAAGGCAAGUUAACAUCAACAAUUGCAACAAUUCUAUUGUAACAUUUAAUCUGGAUAUUUCUCUUCCAGACCAACAGAGGGCCCGAUUUUUUGAAUUUUGAAUCACUUUUUUGGUUGUUCCACUCAUUUCCUGUUUGUUCCCUAUAAAAAGCAAAUGGAACAAUCAUCAUGAAGUUUUACAGUUUGUUUGCUGUGUUUGUUGGAUCUGAGCUGUGGUUUGUUGGAAAUAUAACCUAUAAAUGACCUUGCCUAGUCCUGGCUUUGUCUAGCUCUCUGCAUUUAUCUGAACAUCUGAGCUCUGGUAUUUUUACCCUGCCUUGCCUCUGGACAACCUUUUGGAUUUGUCUAAUAUCAAAGGAUUUCCUGGGUGUGACCCUGACUGUUCUUGACCCUCUUUAGUCUGUUAAUAAAACUUUGCAUAUGAAUCCAUAUAACAUCUGAGAGCCAUUUAUUA
Ictalurus punctatus (channel catfish) is the source of this 1095-nucleotide long non-coding RNA. Lineage: Eukaryota; Metazoa; Chordata; Actinopteri; Siluriformes; Ictaluridae. The record is from Ensembl.